GUGGAAGGGGCAUGCAGAGGAGCAGGAGGUUUUGUUGGAAGCCGACCUGUGCUCUACCCUCGCUCGCUCUCCUGUGCCUGCCUCUUCCAUU
Molecule: microRNA precursor, 91 nt
Filed under: Setaria italica (foxtail millet)
Lineage: Eukaryota; Viridiplantae; Streptophyta; Magnoliopsida; Poales; Poaceae
Also listed under: 1 other name
Description: MIR528 microRNA precursor family
Rfam family: MIR528 microRNA precursor family
Source: Rfam by way of RNAcentral